GAUGGACCCACAGCCCGGCCCUACAACACACCGUGCACCCGGUACUGCCGGGUCCACCAACCCCCAGCCCCACGUCACCCCAAUGCACCCGGCACCCCCAACCCCACACCAACCCAGUGCACCCAGUACUGCCAGCCCCAUACGCCCCAUCUCACUGGUCCUACCAGCCCCAAAGCAACAUGCCCCACCCCAGAGGGGUGCAGCCACCCAGACCCCCCGCCACCCUCCCCAAACUGCACCAGGGACCAAGCAGCAGCAGCACCAGCCCCUUUGCACAGUCCCCCCCGGUGGGGGGGGACACAGCCACCCCCAGCCCCCUGCUCCAGGGUGGCUCUGCAGGGUUUUACCCCCCCCCUUUACACCCUGCCCGCCACAGCCCCAUGGAGCAGCAGGAGCCUCCGUGACCCGCGGCCACCCCGGGGAACCACCCAAACGCCACCUGCCACCUGGGUGCCACCGAUAAGCGUUAUCGGGGCACAGCCAGGAACCGAUUUCUGCGCUGGGGGAAGGUGCCAAGCCUCUCCCGGGCCCCGCGCCCAUGCCACGGCACCCUGCGACAACACCUGGGGACCCCGUGCAGGGCCGGGGACCCUCGGGGAGCCGCUGGGGCAGGGGGCUGCGGUGGGGAAGGCCGGGCAGGAGCUGAGGGUUAAAGGCCCACGAGUUGUUUUGCAAAGGGGCAGAGGUAGCAGGGCCUGGCCCGGCGCCCAGCACCUGCCCCCAGGCGCUUGUGUGCCGAUAAGGCGGCAGGGUGCAAGGGUAAGAGCGGCGCCGCACGCGCGGCCGCUGCACCCGCAGCCCCCAGGGAGAUGUGGGGCCARGGUGGCGGGUGCCGGGGUGCAAGGCAGCUCCCCCCCCCAGGAUCAGCCCUCGACACCCGUGGGAAGGAGCCUGGGGCUCCACCGCCGCGAUGCCCUGAGCCGCUCGGCCACGGCUAAGCCAGGGCCCCCAGCGCCAAGGCGGCUGCUGGGGCAGGCGCUUCCCCUCCCAGCGCCGAAUCAAAAAUAA
RNAcentral lists this long non-coding RNA (1008 nucleotides) under Apteryx owenii (little spotted kiwi). Its description in RNAcentral is "lncRNA (ENSAOWG00000006694.1)". Lineage: Eukaryota; Metazoa; Chordata; Aves; Apterygiformes; Apterygidae. The record is from RNAcentral.